Acanthosepion pharaonis is the source of this 92-nucleotide non-coding RNA. The record is from the annotation of a GenBank genome assembly. NCBI's taxonomy places the organism in Eukaryota, Metazoa, Mollusca, Cephalopoda, Sepiida, Sepiidae.
GCUAAAACACCGGUUCCAGUACCGAAGUUAAGCAACGUCGAGCCUGGUCAGUACCUAGAUGGGUGACCGCUUGGGAAUAUCAGGUGAAGUAA